RNAcentral lists this small RNA (622 nucleotides) under Torulaspora quercuum. RNAcentral's name for it is "ribonuclease P RNA". Lineage: Eukaryota; Fungi; Ascomycota; Saccharomycetes; Saccharomycetales; Saccharomycetaceae. The record is from RNAcentral.
UAGGAAAGUCAUAAAUAUAUAAAUUAAAAUAUAUUUACUUUUAAUUAAUAGUAAAUUAUAUUUUAUAAUAAAGUAAUAAAUAUAAAUAAAUAAUAAUGGAAAUAUAAUACUUAUUAUUAUUAUUAUAAUAAAUUAUAUUUUUAAUACUUAAACAAUUAAAUUUUAUAUUAAAUAUGCAUUAAGUAUUAUUUAUACCUAAAAGGUAUAUGAUUAUUAAAUAAAUAUUAUAAUAAUAAAGUAAGUAUAAUAAAUAUCUAAAUAAAUAUAUUAUUAAAUAAUGAAUAAAUAUUAAUAUAUAUAAUUCGUAAUACCUAUCUUUUUAUAUCCUUUUUUACUAUUAUAAUAGUAUUAAUUAAAAAGAGGAAUACGAUUAAAUAUAAAGUUAUAUAAUAGUUAUAUAUACAUAUUUAUAUUAUUACUAUUUUUUAUUUACUUUGCACUAUCCAUCUAUUAAAAUUAAUUCUAUUUUUAUAAAUGGAUAAUAAUAAAAUAGAAUAAUAUAUUAAUUAUAUAUUUUUAUUAAUAUCUUAAUUUUAAUAUAUAAUUAAAUAAUAUAAUUUUCCUUUUUUAAUAUAUUAUUUAAAUAAGGAAAUAAUAUUAUAAUAUACAAAAAUAUGCUUAA